Long non-coding RNA from Drosophila navojoa, 152 nucleotides. NCBI's taxonomy places the organism in Eukaryota, Metazoa, Arthropoda, Insecta, Diptera, Drosophilidae. The record is from RefSeq and is a predicted model, not a curated record.
CGUGUGUGUGUGUGUGUGUGUGUGUGUGCGUAUGUGUGUGUGUGUGUGUGUAUGUGUGUGUUUGGCUAAACUUCGAUGAAGUACAACUUAUAGUUAGUCUUACGGUUAGUUUCGAGUUUUCAUUUUGAUAAUAAAACACACAUAUACAAAUC